AUGUUUACGCUUACUGGUCGUUCCUAAAGAAAAGAGCUAAGACUUAAAGCAGCUAUUAAGACAGCUCCUCCUAGCUUGGAGAGAUAAAUGAUUUUAUCGCGCUCCACAUCUCGUGGUAUUUUUGUUUCCAGCCUGGACUUGAGUUCAUCAGUUCAUCGAGGAAAGGAUAAUUUACUACGAGAGCGCAGAGAUUUGCUACUCAAUAGGUAUCGGGGUACAGAAAGAGUACAUUGACACAUAUUGCUUGGU
This 249-nucleotide long non-coding RNA is filed under the name Panax ginseng (ginseng). Its description in RNAcentral is "long non-coding RNA (PGIN_LNC003503)". The record is from RNAcentral. Lineage: Eukaryota; Viridiplantae; Streptophyta; Magnoliopsida; Apiales; Araliaceae.